GCGAGGGUAGGAAAGCCCGGCCAACUCCGACGGACUUAAGAUCCGUUCCUGCAGAGGUUCAUGCGUUCGAAUCGCAUCCCUCGCA
Molecule: transfer RNA, 85 nt
Filed under: Methanoregula sp. PtaB.Bin085
Lineage: Archaea; Methanobacteriati; Methanobacteriota; Methanomicrobia; Methanomicrobiales; Methanoregulaceae
Also listed under: 3 other names
Description: tRNA-Leu
Source: RNAcentral